AGUGAACGCUGGCGGUAGGCCUAACACAUGCAAGUCGAACGGCAGCACAGUAAGAGCUUGCUCUUACGGGUGGCGAGUGGCGGACGGGUGAGGAAUACAUCGGAAUCUACUUUUUCGUGGGGGAUAACGUAGGGAAACUUACGCUAAUACCGCAUACGACCUACGGGUGAAAGCAGGGGAUCUUCGGACCUUGCGCGAUUGAAUGAGCCGAUGUCGGAUUAGCUAGUUGGCGGGGUAAAGGCCCACCAAGGCGACGAUCCGUAGCUGGUCUGAGAGGAUGAUCAGCCACACUGGAACUGAGCCACGGUCAAGACUCCUACGGGAGGCAGCAGUGGGGAAUAUUAGACAAUGGGCGCAAGCCUGAUCCAGCCAUACCGCGUGGGUGAAGAAGGCCUUCGGGUUGUAAAGCCCUUUUGUUGGGAAAGAAAAGCAGCAGGUUAAUACCCCGCUGUUCUGACGGUACCCAAAGAAUAAGCACCGGCUAACUUCGUG
Molecule: ribosomal RNA, 492 nt
Filed under: uncultured bacterium
Lineage: Bacteria
Description: partial 16S ribosomal RNA
Rfam family: Bacterial small subunit ribosomal RNA
Source: RNAcentral